RNAcentral lists this ribosomal RNA (481 nucleotides) under uncultured bacterium. Its description in RNAcentral is "partial 16S ribosomal RNA". It matches the Rfam family "Bacterial small subunit ribosomal RNA", at positions 30 to 506 of the family's 1533-position model. The record is from RNAcentral.
AUCGAACGCUGGCGGCAUGCUUUACACAUGCAAGUCGAACGGUAACAGGCCGCAAGGUGCUGACGAGUGGCGAACGGGUGAGUAAUGCAUCGGAACGUGCCCAGUCGUGGGGGAUAACUACUCGAAAGAGUAGCUAAUACCGCAUACGAUCUAUGGAUGAAAGCGGGGGACCGUAAGGCCUCGCGCGAUUGGAGCGGCCGAUGUCAGAUUAGGUAGUUGGUGGGGUAAAGGCUCACCAAGCCAACGAUCUGUAGCUGGUCUGAGAGGACGACCAGCCACACUGGGACUGAGACACGGCCCAGACUCCUACGGGAGGCAGCAGUGGGGAAUUUUGGACAAUGGGCGCAAGCCUGAUCCAGCAAUGCCGCGUGCAGGAAGAAGGCCUUCGGGUUGUAAACUGCUUUUGUACGGAACGAAACGGCUCUGGUUAAUACCCGGGGCUAAUGACGGUACCGUAAGAAUAAGCACCGGCUAACUACGU